UGGAUGAAAUAUGAAGUUUUAUUAAAAGAAAAAGGGGUGAAAAGAACAAAGUUUUGUCCAUCUUUGUUCAUCAUAGCUGAAAGUUAGAGAAGAGAAAGGAGAGGAGAAAGCUCUUGAGUAUUUGGUCAUUAGGAGGAGGAAAAUUGAAGGCGGUUCGUGUGUGGAUCUCGUCAGCAUAUCGUCGCAAAUAGGUAAUCCCCAACCAUAGUGGGCUUGGACCUAUGAGGGAAUUCGGAGUGGCCACCCGUUCUGAAAGUUUGAUUUUCUUCUGGUGAACUAGACAUCCUUUUAUUUACGUUUGAAGUUUUUAGGCUUUUAAAUGUAAUAAGGCCGCUUAUUUAUUUUUGAUGGUUUUUAAUAUGUAUUACUAAGAUAGGUAAUACUUAUUUUAACUGUUGAAAUUGGAUAGCUUUAGGGCGCGUUUUCAAAAACAACAGUUGAUUUCAAAAUAACACGACAACAAGCAAAGCUUCCGCAAUGAAA
Molecule: long non-coding RNA, 483 nt
Organism: Gossypium arboreum
Lineage: Eukaryota; Viridiplantae; Streptophyta; Magnoliopsida; Malvales; Malvaceae
Exons: 3
Source: RefSeq, a predicted model, not a curated record